Micropterus dolomieu (smallmouth bass) is the source of this 312-nucleotide long non-coding RNA. RefSeq lists it as uncharacterized. The record is from RefSeq and is a predicted model, not a curated record. The transcript has 3 exons. Lineage: Eukaryota; Metazoa; Chordata; Actinopteri; Centrarchiformes; Centrarchidae.
UUGGCCUUCUGUUGAGGGAUGCUCUUUGGAACUGGAUGUAAAUGGCCUUCAUCCUCCAGAUGUCCGUCAACUCCUGAUCAACUUUGACUUCUUCUUUUGGUUGGUUUUGGUUGACUGAUGCCAUCUUUGCAAACUCCAUUCACUUAUUAAAACCCUGAGAUGCAGUUUUAAUCUCCAGAAAAUUAUGAUGUCAACUGUUGAGACAGCUGCAGCUACCACAGUACAGAAGAGCAGCAUUGGCAGCAAUAAGCCAGAAGCUCCGGCCUAUCUUUUGCAGCAGCAUGUUGGCAAGCAGUUUUUAAUGGAUUGUUU